RNAcentral lists this ribosomal RNA (2102 nucleotides) under human gut metagenome. Its description in RNAcentral is "bacterial LSU rRNA". It matches the Rfam family "Bacterial large subunit ribosomal RNA", at positions 831 to 2925 of the family's 2925-position model. The record is from RNAcentral.
AAUCAAACCCGGAGAUAUCUCGUUCUCCCCGAAAUAGCUUUAGGGCUAGCGUCGCGCGUUCACCGCCGGAGGUAGAGCACCGGAUGGACGAGGGGGCUUCGCCGCCUACCGAAUCCAACCGAACUCCGAAUGCCGGCGGCCCAGAGCGCGGCAGUCAGAGCAUGUGGGCUAAGCUGUGUGCUCGAGAGGGAAACAGCCCGGACCGCCCGCUAAGGUCCCCAAGUUCCAGCCGAGUGGCAAAGGAUGUGCGUCCGCCCAGACAACCAGGAUGUUGGCUUAGAAGCAGCCAUCCAUUCAAAGAGUGCGUAACAGCUCACUGGUCGAGUGGACAUGCGCCGACAAUACACGGGGCUAAGCUGGACACCGAAGCGGCGGGAUUUUAAUUCAUUAGAAUCGGUAGGGGAGCUUCCCAUGGGCGGAGAAGCCGGAGGGCGACCGACGGUGGAGCGCAUGGGAGUGAGAAUGCUGGCAUGAGUAGCGAGAGACGAGAGAGUAACUCGUCCGCCGUGAACCCGAGGUUUCCUGGGCAAGGCUAAUCCUCCCAGGGUCAGUCGGGGGCUAAGGCGAGGCCGGGAGGCGUAGCCGACGCGCAGCAGGCAGACAUUCCUGCACCGCGCACGCGGCGCUACGACCGACGGGGCGACGGAUGGGGGUGGCUCGGCGGGGUUCUGGACGUCCCCGUGAUGGAGCGCGGCCCGCGGACCAGGGAAAUCCGGUCCGCAGAAGGGCGAGGCUCCGGACGAAGCACUUAAGCGAAGCGAGUGAGCCCGAGGUCCCUAGAAAAACCCCUAGGCAGGCGCGUGCGCGCCCGUACCGCAAACCGACACAGGUGGGUGGGUAGAACAUACCGAGGCGAUCGGGUCAACCAUGGUCAAGGAACUCGGCACAAUGGCCCCGUAACUUCGGGAGAAGGGGUGCCCGCGCGUACGUGAACCGGCUCGCCCGGGGAGCGGAGGCGGGCCGCAGUGGAGAGGCCCAAGCGACUGUUUACCAAAAACACAGGACUCUGCAGAAGCCGCAAGGCGACGUAUAGGGUCUGACGCCUGCCCGGUGCCGGAAGGUCACGCGGAGGAGUUAGCCGCAAGGCGAAGCCCCGAAGCCAAGCCCCGGUAAACGGCGGCCGUAACUAUAACGGUCCUAAGGUAGCGAAAUUCCUUGUCGGGUAAGUUCCGACCUGCACGAAAGGCGCAACGACUUGGGCGCUGUCUCGACCAUGGACCCGGUGAAAUUGCACUGGUCGUGAAGAUGCGACUUACCCGCGGAAGGACGGAAAGACCCCGUGAACCUUCACUGCAGCUUGGCAUUGGCCGCUGGUCCCGCGUGUAGAGGAUAGGCAGGAGGCAUCGAUCCGGAGGCGCCAGCCCCCGGGGAGCCGCCCUUGGAAUACUGCCCUCGCGCGACCGGCGUCCUAACCCGAGGCCGUCAACCGGCUCGGGGACCGUGCCAGGCGGGCAGUUUGACUGGGGCGGUCGCCUCCUAAAGGGUAACGGAGGCGCGCGAAGGUCCGCUCGGGACGGUCGGCAACCGUCCUUUUGAAUGCAAGAGUACAAGCGGGCUUGACUGCGAGGCCCACAAGCCGAGCAGGUGCGAAAGCAGGCUCUAGUGAUCCGGCGGCCCCGAGUGGGUGGGCCGUCGCUCAACGGAUAAAAGGUACUCCGGGGAUAACAGGCUGAUCUUGCCCAAGAGUCCACAUCGACGGCAAGGUUUGGCACCUCGAUGUCGGCUCAUCGCAUCCUGGGGCUGUAGCAGGUCCCAAGGGUUGGGCUGUUCGCCCAUUAAAGCGGUACGCGAGCUGGGUUCAGAACGUCGUGAGACAGUUCGGUCCCUAUCCUCCGUGGGCGCAGGAGAAUCGAUGGAGGCUGCCCCCAGUACGAGAGGACCGGGGUGGACGCACCUCCGGUGAACCGGUUGUCGACCAACGGCACGGCCGGGUAGCCGCGUGCGGCGCGGAUAACCGCUGAAGGCAUCUAAGCGGGAAGCCGUUCCAGGGAUUAGUUCUCCUUCCGGUAAGGGCCCAGGUAGACUACCUGGUCGAUAGACGGCAGGUGCAAGGACGGCGACGUCCUCAGCCGAGCCGCACUAAUCGCCCGAGCUCUUCCGGA